GUGCCCUUGGAAGAAGAGACAUCAGAGAGCUUCCUCACACUUUCUGCGAUGGGAGGACACAGAAGGAAAGUGGCCAUCUGCAAGCCAGGAAGAAGGUCCUCACCACAAUGGGACCAUGUAGGGACCCUGAUCUUGAACUUCCAUCUACAAUGCAGAGAAAUGCAUUGUACCCGUGAUAAAGAGCCAUACCCCACCUGCAGACAGAAUUCUGGUGCUGCUGCUCCUCGGAGACACCAGCUGUGAGCAAAAGCUGCCUGAACACCUUGCCUCGGGGAUAGUCCUGGGUGAUUGUCCGCCAACCAGUUGCCAUUGACCCACAGUGAUUUCAGUUUUGUGGUGAAGGAAAC
Long non-coding RNA from Tupaia belangeri chinensis (Chinese tree shrew), 347 nucleotides. RefSeq lists it as uncharacterized. The record is from RefSeq and is a predicted model, not a curated record. Lineage: Eukaryota; Metazoa; Chordata; Mammalia; Scandentia; Tupaiidae. The transcript is spliced from 3 exons.